Long non-coding RNA from Pezoporus occidentalis (night parrot), 852 nucleotides. RefSeq lists it as uncharacterized. Lineage: Eukaryota; Metazoa; Chordata; Aves; Psittaciformes; Psittacidae. The transcript has 5 exons. The record is from RefSeq and is a predicted model, not a curated record.
UUGACACAUAAUAAAAAGAAAGCUCAUGCCCUGCAGAGCUGGUAGCGAGUGUAGAUUAGGCGAGUUCUAAAGAGAGAGCUGUGCAGGUUUUUUCAGGUCUUGUAGACUUGUUGCACCAGCACAAACAAACCUGCCAGAGCACUUUCUGAAAGGCAGCAUGCAAACAGGCAGGUCCAAACAAAAAGGCUGAAGCUUUAACCUACCUCAAAACCCUUGCGUGCUUCUAACAGGCCCUCCUGAUUCUGAACAGCCUCUCAGUUCUCCACAGAUGCAAGAACCACAGCUCACAGAAACACAGCAUCUCUCCUGACCAAGCCAACAGCAGGAACAUUAGCACGCACAAAGUGUUAUACAAGAACCAAGAAACACAAGAAGAUGCGGCUGAAACUGCCUCUUUCUUGCUCAUUCUUCAGUGCCAGAUCACAUCAGGAUAUAACGUACCUGAGGACUACUUGUUUGCAAACUGCUGGAAGACAGAGGCAUAAUCACGUAUUGGUGAUUAUGGCUGAUCAGGUGGUGACUCUAGAGCCUGAGUUGCUUAGAAAUGACACUGAUUCUUUCAUUAAAUGCCCUCACCUGACCAAGAGUGACUACGGUUGUAAAAGCCAGACAAGGGGGAAGAGAGGAAUGCUGUUGAAAUCUGAUUAGCAGAAAAGGCAAAGCUUUGUCAUUAACCCUAGUCCCUGGCUAUCUUUAUCAGAUACCCAAGCCCCUAAGCACAAAAUCCCUCCUGCUCCCUGGUCCUGCCCAUCGCAUCAAAGGGAAGUGCACCUCCAGAACAAGCAGCCCUGUUUCCCAUGCAUGUGGGACUUGGCCAUGCACCAGGUCACACACAGGAAGUCUUCCAAACUU